This 253-nucleotide ribosomal RNA is filed under the name uncultured bacterium. RNAcentral describes it as "partial 16S ribosomal RNA". It matches the Rfam family "Bacterial small subunit ribosomal RNA", at positions 524 to 776 of the family's 1533-position model. The record is from RNAcentral.
UACGUAGGGUGCGAGCGUUAAUCGGAAUUACUGGGCGUAAAGCGUGCGCAGGCGGUGAUGUAAGACAGUUGUGAAAUCCCCGGGCUUAACCUGGGAAUUGCGCUUGAAACUAGCGGGCUUGAGUGUGGCAGAGGGGGGUGGAAUUCCACGUGUAGCAGUGAAAUGCGUAGAGAUGUGGAGGAACACCGAUGGCGAAGGCAGCCCCCUGGGUCAACACUGACGCUCAUGCACGAAAGCGUGGGGAGCAAACAGG